RNAcentral lists this ribosomal RNA (235 nucleotides) under uncultured Candidatus Saccharibacteria bacterium. RNAcentral describes it as "partial 16S ribosomal RNA". It matches the Rfam family "Bacterial small subunit ribosomal RNA", at positions 584 to 818 of the family's 1533-position model. Lineage: Bacteria; Candidatus Saccharimonadota. The record is from RNAcentral.
AAAGCGAAUAGUGAAAUCUGGCGGCUCAACCGUACAGGCUAUUAUUCGAACUCACUAACUCGAGAGUGGUAGAGGUUACUGGAAUUUCUAGUGUAGGAGUGAAAUCCGUAGAUAUUAGAAGGAACACCAAUGGCGUAGGCAGGUAACUGGACCAUUUCUGACACUAAGGCACGAAAGCGUGGGGAGCGAACCGGAUUAGAUACCCUGGUAGUCCACGCCUAAACGAUGCGAACUG